UUCUACAAAGAAUCUAAUUCAAGUAUUUUCUCUACUAAGAAUACCACUAUAUAAAUGAUGAAAUUUUCCACUAACUCAAGUGCCUCUUAACACUUCUAACUCAAUAGUUUCUUUAAAAAAAAAGUUUAAAAUAUGUUCAAAACAUUACUUUUAGGAUUAUUUUUCUUGAUCUCCGUUCUCACUUUUUCAGCUCAUGAGAUCACAGCCACAUCACAAAUUGAAGGUUUAAGUACUUCAAAGCAACAAAGGACUCAAAGAACAACUGUGGGAUAUUUGCAUGUUGUUCAACAUGGAAAGGUGUCAAAGAAAUCAAAGACAGUUUAUGGGGGAGCCAAUAAUGUGAAGAGUCAUAAGGGAAAAAGUAGUGCAAACACUAAUUUGAUCAAAUCUUCAUCCUUGUUUAUGGUUGUAUUAAGUCAUCUAAUUCCAGCAAUGAUUCUGGUUGGUGGUUUCUUUUGAAUUUCAAUAUGUUUCAAGAUAGAGGCUUGCAUGAUUUGUCAAGAGUGUGCUUUUGAUUUGUCUCAUACAAAGACACAUAUAUAAUCAAAUAAGUUUUCUUUAUUGAAAUGGUCUUAUUAAUUUAGUGUUACAAAUAUGUGUUUGGUUCUACAAUUAAAAAUAAUAAUUUUGAGUAAAUUGAUUUUCAUUAAAAAUGACUUAAAUAUAAAAUGAUUUGUAUUUGAAUAAAUAUUUGUAAAAUUGAGUUGAAUAAUCAAUUUUAAAUUUAAAAA
Molecule: long non-coding RNA, 731 nt
Filed under: Lathyrus oleraceus (garden pea)
Lineage: Eukaryota; Viridiplantae; Streptophyta; Magnoliopsida; Fabales; Fabaceae
Description: Pisum sativum (pea) long non-coding RNA (PSAT_LNC019987)
Source: RNAcentral